UCUAUCAGUCGGCUAUCGCUCUGCAUUUUUUGCAGAGAGGAAAGUCCGGACAGCGUAGGGCAAUACACCGGUUAACGGCCGGCUUCUUUGUAAAAAAAGAAAGAAAAAGUGCCACAGAAAAUAACCGCUUUGUGCAAACAAAGUAAGGGUGAAAAUGUGCGGUAAAAGCGCACAAUUGGUGUUAGUAAUAAUGCCAGUGGGUAAACUUUGUAUGCUGUAAUGCCACAUAUACCAUUGGUUUUGCUUAGGCAAAAGGCAAGUGGCUCGCAGGUUUUCUAAUUUUAUUAGAAACAAUGGAGGGUAGGCAGCAAGAUUGUAAUAGCAAUAUUGCAACUAGAUAAAUGAUAGCCUUUUGUAGCUUGCUACAAAAACAGAAUCCGGCUUAUGACUGAUAGAUUUU
This 400-nucleotide RNase P RNA is filed under the name Ferruginibacter sp. RNAcentral describes it as "RNase P RNA component class A". It matches the Rfam family "Bacterial RNase P class A". From Rfam's summary of the family: Ribonuclease P (RNase P) is a ubiquitous endoribonuclease, found in archaea, bacteria and eukarya as well as chloroplasts and mitochondria. Its best characterised activity is the generation of mature 5'-ends of tRNAs by cleaving the 5'-leader elements of precursor-tRNAs. Lineage: Bacteria; Pseudomonadati; Bacteroidota; Chitinophagia; Chitinophagales; Chitinophagaceae. The record is from RNAcentral.